GAUGAAGAACGUAGCGAAAUGCGAUAAGUAAUGUGAAUUGCAGAAUUCAGUGAAUCAUCGAAUCUUUGAACGCACAUUGCGCCCCUUGGUAUUCCGAGGGGCAUGCCUGUUCGAGCGUCAUUAUAACCCCUCAAGCUCAGCUUGGUGUUGGGGCCUGCUGCACUGGCAGCCCUUAAAAUCAGUGGCGGCGCCAUCUGGCUCUAAGCGUAGUAAUUCUUCUCGCUAUGGAGUCCUGGUGGAUGCUUGCCAUCAACCCCCAAUUUUUAUAUGGUUGACCUCGGAUCAGGUAGGGAUACCCGCUGAACUUAAGCAUAUCAAUAAGCGGAGGA
This 329-nucleotide unclassified non-coding RNA is filed under the name soil metagenome. RNAcentral describes it as "partial contains 5.8S ribosomal RNA, internal transcribed spacer 2, and large subunit ribosomal RNA". The stretch from base 1 to 120 matches the Rfam family "5.8S ribosomal RNA", at positions 35 to 154 of the family's 154-position model. The record is from RNAcentral.